CAGUAAAUCAUCACCAUUGAGCGUCUUUCUUUUCUCCCUCUGGCACUUAUCACCCGCCUCGCUGGUAAUGAAGCUGAUGAACUCAGAGACGCAUUCCUGAACGGUCUCCUUGGCAUCCUUGGCGAUCUUACCAUUGGCAGGAAUCGCCUUCUUCAUGAUCCGGCUAAUAUUAGCAAUAGGAAGAUACCUCUCUUGCUCACGGACAUUAGUGUUGGAGUUGGAGCGGGGGCUAUGCUCACCACUCUCGCGGCUGCCUCCGCCUGGGCUCGCCGGUGGUGCCUCCUCCGCCAUCCUCAGACCCUAGCUGACAACAGCAAUCACCGAAAACCAUCGUUAAUGAAGAGAUUAGAGAAACAGCAAAGGGAGAGAGCAAGAAAAGGAGAGAAAGAGAGAAAGUGCGGGUGUAUGAAGAGGGAUAGUAUGAUUUACCUAGGAGAGCUUUGGAAAAGGGCGCCAGAGAAUAAUAAGGAUUGGAUAGGGAGGUGAAAGAGGAAAGAGAAGGGAUCGGACGCUGGAGAAGAGAGGAGAUAGGAGACGACUCUGAUCAGAUCAUGCAAUUUAUCAACACCGUUGGUUUUGAUUCUGCUCUCUCUCUCUCU
RNAcentral lists this unclassified non-coding RNA (599 nucleotides) under Hevea brasiliensis (rubber tree). Lineage: Eukaryota; Viridiplantae; Streptophyta; Magnoliopsida; Malpighiales; Euphorbiaceae. The record is from RNAcentral.